Long non-coding RNA from Lycium barbarum (goji berry), 889 nucleotides. RefSeq lists it as uncharacterized. The transcript has 3 exons. NCBI's taxonomy places the organism in Eukaryota, Viridiplantae, Streptophyta, Magnoliopsida, Solanales, Solanaceae. The record is from RefSeq and is a predicted model, not a curated record.
AAUUGUAAUUUACCUGUUAUUCUGGUAGAUACAAAAAUUAAGAUUUUUUUUUAAAAUAAAUUAAAAGCAGCUAGGAUCGACGAAGCUUCCUUUAUGUUCUAUUUUUAAUUCUAUUGAUGUUUACUGUUAUUUUGUCAUUUCCCUCUGAUUUCAAAAGUGCUUCAUUUUUUUUCCUUGUCAAGCUACCUGGGGAAAAUUUAAGUAUUUCCUUUUUGUUCCUUAUGAUGUAGUCUUGGUCCUUAGCUGUGUGGCUGACAACUGUUCAUAGUGUAUCUUACUGUGAGAAAUUCAAGAAGAAAUUUAAGCAGGAAAAUCCUAAUGCGAAGAUUGUGCUAGCUGUUACUUUCAUAAUCAUGUUUCUCCCCUCCAGGUCCUCCUAGGGCCAUGUGUCUGCAGUUUCCCAUGGGAAAGGAAGGCCAAAAGAAAAGAUCAAAUUAUCAUCCAGUAUAAACAAUUGAUGGCCUAUGAAAUUUUUUGUUGAUGACUUCAUGUUCCUUGGAGACUUUACUCCUUACUGUGAGGUAUUUCAAGAAGUUGACAAAGGAAGUCGAGAAAGACCAAGAGCUAGAAUGAAGGAUCAAAUGAAGAUCCAUGAGCGCAUAGCAAUUUUCUACUUAAAGGCCACCCUGGUACGACUUGCAUAACAGAGAAUGAGAGAAAUGGAGAAAUAGACACAACAGAAAUAGAGAAUUCAGCCAUUUUCACAGGAAACAACCUAUGAUAAUAGGUUUGGAUCAACCCGCAACAAAUCUCCUCAUAUACCCUCCUUUUCUCCUGAGAGAUGUCUUAUCAAUAAAUUGUUAUAAUUUGAUUUGGAGAUGCUUGCUUCCCCAAAAUAGUGUCUGGGAGGGAGCAAAGGUUUACUAUACUCGAAUGUACAUGUUAUAAA